RNAcentral lists this long non-coding RNA (2688 nucleotides) under Linum usitatissimum (flax). Its description in RNAcentral is "long non-coding RNA (LUSI_LNC007285)". The record is from RNAcentral. Lineage: Eukaryota; Viridiplantae; Streptophyta; Magnoliopsida; Malpighiales; Linaceae.
AUAGGAUAAAAAUUAGGCCCAAAUGGAGAAGUGUUGCAUCCCCUUGAAAUGAGUGCAUGUACAUCACACCUCCUACGGUGGUUGCCAAAGCUCCGAGUGAACCCAAAAUAGGCCUUGGACUUGGAUCUACCAAAUGAUAAGAAUUCCUCUUAAGAUUCAAUCAUAAACUACUUUGCCAAGGUUGUAUGUAAACCCCCCCACCCCCUAAAGUAGUAAAGAAGGGCUCUUUGGGGUCUAAUUUUUAUAUUCUAUCUGACAGGAAAAACAAAUAGGAAGGGAUGGUUCUUUCAUUGCAUUGAUAGAAGUCUAACUAGAAAAAGAUCUUACUAUUACUAUCAAUUUAGGAAGAGAAUCAGAAUGAAAAGAAGCCCAAAAAAAAGCAAAAAAGAACAUAACCUCCGAUACGAUGAACAGAAUAAAACCAUAUCGAGGUCCUAAUUGUACGAUUUUGGUAUGAUGUCCUUCCAACGUGGACUCACGUAGAACAUCGCGCCACCAUACAAACAUAGUAUAUAGGAUAAAAAUUAGGCCCAAAUGGAGAAGUGUUGCACCCCCUUGAAAUGAGUGCAUGUACAUCACACCUCCUACGGUGGUUGCCAAAGCUCCGAGUGAACCCAAAAUAGGCCUUGGACUUGGAUCUACCAAAUGAUAAGAAUUCCUCUUAAGAUUCAAUCAUAAACUACUUUGCCAAGGUUGUAUGUAAACCCCCCCACCCCCUAAAGUAGUAAAGAAGGGCUCUUUGGGGUCUAAUUUUUAUCCUAUAUCUGACAGGACAAACAAAUAGGAAGGGAUGGUUCUUUCAUUGCAUUGAUAGAAGUCUAACUAGAAAAAGAUCUUACUAUCAAUUCAAAAAGAUCUCUCUAUUACUAUCAAUUUAGGAAGAGAAUCGUUGGGUUAACCGACGAACUACAUGGGAGGAUCUUCUUUCUUUUCUUUUUCCAAGACAAGCCCUUAGAAAACACUCACUUACGCCCAUCUGUCGGAUCCUAGCUACCCUUUUGUAACCAAGAAGAAGUCUUCUCUCGUUGACAACCCUGAUGCUACACGUGUGUCAUAUAUACGGAUGCAACAUGUGAAUGAACAUAUGAACAUGUUACAACAGUGGUAGCUUGAACAAACAACAAUGUAUCCCUUCUCUAAUAGCACGUCUCAUUCAUGUUCAAAGCAGCAAGAUAUAACAAGUUUCAUGCUCAAUCAGUAGUAAGUUUACUUCAUCCCCGGAGACCGGUCCAGUAGAGGACCCUUUAGGCGGAAACUACUAUGUUAUCGUGCAUUCUUCAUUCGCAUGAAAGUAUGAAUAUAAGCAAGCUUUCUUAUUCGAAAAAGAGCUAUGGAAGUUUUGUCGGUGUUCUUUCAUCUGUUAUAUAAGAUAUUUCGAAAUUUACAAUCAUGUGACUCGCCCAACCUAUACAAGGGGCUUUCAUCAGUAUUUUGUUGAAGGAUAAACCCUACUAAGGAAAGGAUGAUCUAUAGCUACUCCUAACCCUUAGCCGCCUCGACUGUUCGAAAGACUAACAAGUGGAGGAGGGAGUUCCAAAGCAACUGUGACUCAUGCGGCAGACAAAUUUAUUUCGACUCAUUGAAUGCUAGAAAAUACGCUUCUUUUGUCAGUUAGGUUAGGUGCGAAAGCCCAAAAAUAGGCCUUGGACUUGGAUCUACCAAAUGAUAAGAAUUCCUCUUAAGAUUCAAUCAUAAACUACUUUGCCAAGGUUGUAUGUAAACCCCCCCACCCCCUAAAGUAGUAAAGAAGGGCUCUUUGGGGUCUAAUUUUUUCGAUAGAUAGCAGGUUGCUUCCAAGCUCAAACCAUUUGAAACAACAAGCAACGGAUAAGCUUGAAAGAGGGAGCGGGGAAGGAAGAACAGCCGUUUUACUUUGGCACAUGAGGUGGCGGGUUUGGCUAGGUAACAUAAUGGAAAUGUAUCAGACUGCGAAUGCUAACAGUAUCGAAGCGCACCAAGAGAUUCCCGGUCGAACAAAUUUCGUAUAUAAAAAAAAAGAUGUGUUUUGUCCGUCCUCUUUUUUUUUAUUUAAAAAGAAAGAAAAAACGCUUCUUUUGUCAGUUAGGUUAGGUGCGAAAGCCCAUUAUGGGGGUUGUGUAUAGUGGAUGUUGUGGCUAGGGGGGUACUGUCUUGGUUCAAAUGAAUGCAUCUGAGUUAGCAAGCAGGUGGGGUACAAGAGAAAAAGAAUGUGAUCUUUAGGCUCUGAGUGAGCUAGGCGGUCAUUCUCCUACUCCUUUGAAUGUCUGCUCCUCAUAUGGAAAAUAGGAUGUCGGACUUAGAAUCUGCUUAUUCAAUAUCUUGUCCAGAGUAAAAUAUCACUACACCGGGGUUGUUGGCUUUCACGAAGCAAGACGGAUUUAUAAGAGCGCUACGCUAAUCAUCACCAUUGAGUGUUGGAGCAAUAAUUCUAUGAAAAGGGGAGUUAGACUUUCUAAAAAGCAACUGAAAUCGAGUACAUCAAAUCGAGAGAUCUUCGGAUUUUCGGUCUAUAGGUCGCGCAUUAGUCCCAUAUAUUCCCAUCGAUACAAAAUUAGGAAAUGAUUUGUUGCAAUCUUUGCUUUGGCUGUGGAAGGGGAAAGACUCGUUGCCCUACUGUUAGCUUUGUAAAGUAGUACUCAUAGGGUAAGGACAGGUGGCAUAGCGCAGUCCUAAUCGAUGUGGUGUCCAGUCACAAUCUAGAGAAUAAGA